This 253-nucleotide ribosomal RNA is filed under the name uncultured bacterium. RNAcentral's name for it is "partial 16S ribosomal RNA". It matches the Rfam family "Bacterial small subunit ribosomal RNA", at positions 524 to 776 of the family's 1533-position model. The record is from RNAcentral.
GACGUAGGGUGCGAGCGUUGUCCGGAUUUAUUGGGCGUAAAGAGCGCGUAGGCGGCUCGUCGCGUCGACCGUGAAAACCCGCGGCUUAACUGCGGGCUUGCGGUUGAUACGGGCGGGCUAGAGUUCGGUAGGGGAGACUGGAAUUCCUGGUGUAGCGGUGAAAUGCGCAGAUAUCAGGAGGAACACCGGUGGCGAAGGCGGGUCUCUGGGCCGAUACUGACGCUGAGGAGCGAAAGCGUGGGGAGCGAACAGG